UGUGUCUCCAGGUGUAAUAUAGUGUGUGUCUCCAGGUGUAAUAUAGUGUGUGUCUCCAGGUGUAAUAUAGUGUGUGUCUCUCCAGGUGUAAUAUAGUGUGUGUCUCUCCAGGUGUAAUAUAGUGUGUGUCUCUCCAGGUGUAAUAUAGUGUGUGUCUCUCCAGGUGUAAUAUAGUGUGUGUCUCUCCAGGUGUAAUAUAGUGUGUGUCUCUCCAGGUGUAAUAUAGUGUGUGUCUCUCUCCAGGUGUAAUAUAGUGUGUGUCUCUCUCCAGGUGUAAUAUAGUGUGUGUCUCUCUCCAGGUGUAAUAUAGUGUGUGUCUCUCUCCAGGUGUAAUAUAGUGUGUGUCUCUCUCCAGGUGUAAUAUAGUGUGUGUCUCUCUCCAGGUGUAAUAUAGUGUGUGUCUCUCUCCAGGUGUAAUAUAGUGUGUG
This is a long non-coding RNA of Oncorhynchus keta (chum salmon), 428 nucleotides long. RefSeq lists it as uncharacterized. Lineage: Eukaryota; Metazoa; Chordata; Actinopteri; Salmoniformes; Salmonidae. The transcript is spliced from 4 exons. The record is from RefSeq and is a predicted model, not a curated record.